Molecule: ribosomal RNA, 413 nt
Filed under: Ombrastacoides professorum
Lineage: Eukaryota; Metazoa; Arthropoda; Malacostraca; Decapoda; Parastacidae
Description: partial 16S ribosomal RNA
Rfam family: Bacterial large subunit ribosomal RNA
Source: RNAcentral
GCGGUAUUGUGACCGUGCGAAGGUAGCAUAAUCAUUAGUCUUUUNAGUUAAAGGCUUGUAUGAAUGGUUGAACGANAAAUAGACUGUCUUNACUAAAUUGGUUGAACUUAACUUUUAAGUGAGAAGGCUUAAAUGAUCUANAGGGACGAUAAGACCCUAUAAAGUUUUACAUUAUAAUUAUUAUAAAACAGUUCGAGUGGGAAAAGUUUACUAAUAACCAGNAUGUUUUGUUGGGGUGACAAGAAUAUAAAUAAUGCAACUGUUCUUUANNAGGACCAAAUAUGUUUGUUUAGGUGAUCUUUAAUUUNAGGUGAUAGACUAAAUUACUUUAGGGNAUAACAGCNGUNAUUUUUUUUAAAGAGUUCUUAUCAACAAAAAAGUUUGCNNACCUCGAUGUUNANUUAAAGGNUUCU